GCCGGGCAUGGUAGCUCAUGCCUGUAAUCCCAGUACUGUGGGAGGUUGAGAAGGGUGGCUCACCUGAGGUCAGGAGUUCAAGACCAGCCUGGCCAACAUGGUGAGAACCCAUCUCUA
This is a non-coding RNA of Homo sapiens (human), 117 nucleotides long. It matches the Rfam family "Metazoan signal recognition particle RNA". From Rfam's summary of the family: The signal recognition particle (SRP) is a universally conserved ribonucleoprotein. It is involved in the co-translational targeting of proteins to membranes. Lineage: Eukaryota; Metazoa; Chordata; Mammalia; Primates; Hominidae. The record is from Rfam.